GUAUUUCAAAGCUCUCUGGGUCCUGGGGAUGAGCAGUGCCCUCUCAUCCUGUAAUAAUCGUGGACAUCACACACUGAUGUACAGACAUGGUGCCAGCGCCUCCCUUCCUUGGGGUCUUGGAAAACCCGGUGCCACAAUGGGAUCUAAGUAUCCUUGGAUCAAUACGGAUUCGUGUUUCUCACACCGAAGUUCAGGGCUCUGGCAGCUCCAGGUCCCCUGAGGCCCUGAGGAAAGAGUCACUUGAAGUGGAGUGGACCCUGGUACUACUUGCAAUUCCUCCAAGAAUUCAACCCAGCCAGCAAGACGGAGGGCCUCCCAAAUGCUGCGAUCUGCUCCGUGCUGCUCUGCUGGGCCGUCACUGCCCCCUGUGCGUUCCUGCGGGCGAGGUCUUCUCCCAGAAGCGAGACAAUGAACAGGACAGAAGUGAAUUCAUUGGCCAGACCCUCAAACUGUUGGUGAAGAGGAACGUUUCCUUGGAAUUAAGCUGCCGCUAAGUAAAGGUCAAGGCACGGGGCAGCUGGAUGUCCGUGUGGAUCCUGCAAAUGGAGAGGCUCUGCUGUGGAAACAGAAUGGAACUUAACCUCAGCUAAAACAGUGGUGGAG
This is a long non-coding RNA of Homo sapiens (human), 603 nucleotides long. Ensembl annotates it as long intergenic non-protein coding RNA 1387. NCBI's taxonomy places the organism in Eukaryota, Metazoa, Chordata, Mammalia, Primates, Hominidae. The record is from Ensembl.